UAAAUCCUGCGAUGUACGUUUCGGUUUUAAGUUGUUUUGAACCAAUGACUGUUUCUAGGGAGAUCAAUAAGACAACGUGGCUGACAUGCCCUCGAAAAGGGACUUCAAAAGCGCUGCUGCGAUCACCCACCUGCGAGAGCGGGUUUGAAACGCCAAAAUCGGACGGCAUAUGCGGGUUUUUU
This 182-nucleotide non-coding RNA is filed under the name Paenibacillus athensensis. RNAcentral describes it as "6S / SsrS RNA". It matches the Rfam family "6S / SsrS RNA". Rfam says of the family: E. coli 6S RNA was the first non coding RNA to be sequenced, but its function was unknown until recently. It consists of 184 nucleotides that fold into an extended hairpin structure with a large single-stranded internal bulge. The 6S RNA specifically associates with RNA polymerase holoenzyme containing the sigma70 specificity factor. The record is from Rfam by way of RNAcentral. Lineage: Bacteria; Bacillati; Bacillota; Bacilli; Caryophanales; Paenibacillaceae.